Molecule: long non-coding RNA, 439 nt
Organism: Hyla sarda
Lineage: Eukaryota; Metazoa; Chordata; Amphibia; Anura; Hylidae
Exons: 3
Source: RefSeq, a predicted model, not a curated record
CAAAAUAUUACCACCAUACUGUUGCAAUGUUUCAUGUUGAAUGUGACCUGUUUUUUUCAAGAAAAAUGAAACUUUAGUGUUUGGAGCCAAGGUCAGAAGUGGAUCCAGCAAGAAGCGGAAAUGGUCUUUAUCAAGAACCAAAUUCCUUCUUGUAGCGCCCCAUGGGUGUGGACCCAUUGUGCCACAAAUAGAAGCCAGGCAGGCAGAAUGGUUGCCAAACAUCAGCAUUGCACUUCUAAAGGCCUAAAUCAACAAGCUUUGAGGUUGAGGUAGCUUUGAGAUUUUCACCCUGACAGUGACAAAUUACUCGACUGCUGGCUGAGAUUGGAAAUUAAAAGCAUUUAGAAUUUCUCAUGCAUUUAUGCUAAUGAGAACCUCUGAUAUGAUUUGCAUGCAAAAGAGGACAAUCUGAAAGCUCAUCAGUUUCUUUUUGCUGUUG